Molecule: ribosomal RNA, 253 nt
Filed under: uncultured bacterium
Lineage: Bacteria
Description: partial 16S ribosomal RNA
Rfam family: Bacterial small subunit ribosomal RNA
Source: RNAcentral
UACGUAGGGUGCGAGCGUUAAUCGGAAUUACUGGGCGUAAAGCGUGCGCAGGCGGUUUUGUAAGCCAGAUGUGAAAUCCCCGGGCUUAACCUGGGAACUGCAUUCGAGACUGCAUUGCUAGAGUAUGGGAGAGGGAAGUGGAAUUUCCGGUGUAGCGGUGAAAUGCGUAGAUAUCGGAAGGAACAUCAGUGGCGAAAGCGACUUCCUGGACCAAUACUGACGCUCAUGUGCGAAAGCGUGGGGAGCAAACAGG